Molecule: transfer RNA, 72 nt
Filed under: Saprospiraceae bacterium
Lineage: Bacteria; Pseudomonadati; Bacteroidota; Saprospiria; Saprospirales; Saprospiraceae
Description: tRNA-Gln
Rfam family: tRNA
About the family: Transfer RNA (tRNA) molecules are approximately 80 nucleotides in length. Their secondary structure includes four short double-helical elements and three loops (D, anti-codon, and T loops).
Source: RNAcentral
UGACCCAUGGUGUAAUUGGCAACACAGCUGGUUUUGGUCCAGCCAUUUUAGGUUCGAGUCCUAAUGGGUCAA